AGGACGAACGCUGGCGGCGUGCUUAACACAUGCAAGUCGAGCGGAAAGGCCCUUCGGGGUACUCGAGCGGCGAACGGGUGAGUAACACGUGAGCAAUCUGCCUUUAGCUCUGGGAUAGCUCCGGGAAAACCGGGAUUAAUACCGGAUAAGACCACUUUAGACAUCUGUUGUGGUGGAAAGAAUUUCGGCUAGAGAUGAGCUCGCGGCCUAUCAGCUUGUUGGUGGGGUAACGGCCCACCAAGGCGACGACGGGUAGCCGGCCUGAGAGGGCGACCGGCCACACUGGGACUGAGACACGGCCCAGACUCCUACGGGAGGCAGCAGUGGGGAAUAUUGCGCAAUGGGCGAAAGCCUGACGCAGCGACGCCGCGUGGGGGAUGAAGGCCUUCGGUUGUAACCCUUUCAGCAGGACGAAGCGAAGUGACGGUACCUGCAGAAGAAGCGCCGGCUAACUACGUGCCAGCAGCCGC
RNAcentral lists this ribosomal RNA (470 nucleotides) under uncultured bacterium. RNAcentral describes it as "SSU rRNA". It matches the Rfam family "Bacterial small subunit ribosomal RNA", at positions 26 to 518 of the family's 1533-position model. The record is from RNAcentral.